This 253-nucleotide ribosomal RNA is filed under the name uncultured bacterium. RNAcentral describes it as "partial 16S ribosomal RNA". It matches the Rfam family "Bacterial small subunit ribosomal RNA", at positions 524 to 776 of the family's 1533-position model. The record is from RNAcentral.
UACAGAGGGGGCAAGCGUUGUUCGGAAUUACUGGGCGUAAAGGGCGCGUAGGCGGCCUUCUAAGUCGAACGUGAAAUCCCCGGGCUCAACCCGGGAACUGCGUCCGAUACUGGAAGGCUUGAAUCCGGGAGAGGGAUGCGGAAUUCCAAGUGUAGCGGUGAAAUGCGUAGAUAUCUGGAGGAACACCGGUGGCGAAGGCAGUGAUCUGGGCCGGUACUGACGCUGAGGAGCGAAAGCGUGGGUAGCAAACAGG